CGGUGUGAGGUCUUGCAGCCUCUUCUUCAAUCGUCACUUGUUCAGGUUAUUCGAAAACGUCUCUUUCAAGGGCGGAGAAGAAGCUACAACAAGACUACGGAGGUUACGAGUUGUUUUAUAACGCUGGCUGCGGGAGAAAUGGCAGGGUCCAUAGGGAUGGGCGACGCAGCUGUGACCUGAGCCCUGUAUCGCUUGUUGAGCUCGCGUGGAGUCCUGCAGCCUGCAAACCGUUCCAGGCCCACCAGGAUUUUAGAUCUAUCAUCAGCGGGAAGCAUCAACUAAACUGCAUACUACUAGUGUUUGUGAC
This 307-nucleotide small RNA is filed under the name Histoplasma ohiense. Its description in RNAcentral is "hypothetical lncRNA". Lineage: Eukaryota; Fungi; Ascomycota; Eurotiomycetes; Onygenales; Ajellomycetaceae. The record is from RNAcentral.